Molecule: ribosomal RNA, 441 nt
Filed under: uncultured bacterium
Lineage: Bacteria
Description: bacterial SSU rRNA
Rfam family: Bacterial small subunit ribosomal RNA
Source: RNAcentral
ACUCCUACGGGAGGGCAGCAGUGGGGAAUGCUUGCGCAAUGGGCGGAAGCCUGACGCAGCAACGCCGCGUGUUGGGAAGACGGGCCUUACGGGGUUGUAAAACCUACUUUUCAGGGGGGGACGAAGCCACUCAGGUUAAUAGCCGAGAGGGUGACGGUACCCCCAGAAGAAGCCCCGGCUAACUACGUGCCAGCAGCCGCGGUAAUACGUAGGGGCGAGCGUUGUCCGGAAUCAUUGGGCGUAAAAGCGCGUGUAGGCGGCUUGGUCAUGUUUGGUGUGAAAAUCCCGGGGNUCAACCCCGGAACUGCACUGAAUACUGCCUCGCUAGAGUCCGGGAGAGGAGUUGGGAAGUUCCCAGUGUAGCGGUGAAAAUGCGCAGAUAUUGGGAAGAACACCAAUGGCGAAGGCACAACUCUGGAACGGUAGCUGACGCUGAGACGC